AAUUUUGCYACAUAUUUACCACACAUCUUUUUAGUGGCCUUUGGACAGGGACUCAGGUUUGCACCUGAAUGAAAUGAUUCUGUACAAACACAGUAAACUGAAGCGUCUUGUAAAGGGUUGGAAGCAGAGGGGAGGAAAAAUUGGCUUUAAAGCUAAUUAAACUGAAAUAUGGAUUGUGCUACAGAGUACCCUGAACUUCUCUCUCCCUCUAGAUACUCACACAGCUCUGAUUACAGUAACAAAAUGUCCUGAAUGCAAAACUCAAAUCUGGGGACUCUGUCUAGUUCUAAUUAAGUUCAGAAAAAAGUUAAAGCCCUGAACAAGUUAAUUCCAGACUACAUUUUAUUAGACGGUCUUUUGACAGUAAGUUUUAAUAACAUCGAGACUAGAAAAAGUAAUAGUUACAUCUUASCUUGGGACUACAAGGCAGAUCAGUUUACGUAAUCAUGCAGAAGAUGUAAAGCAAAUAGGACAAACCAGAUUCAGGCCGUGUCAUGUGCUUUGGUGUGCAUUAAAUGUGACUACAUUUCCUCCGGUGUGCUGCAGUGGUUGAAGCUGACCUGGAUUGGGUGUGGAAAAA
Long non-coding RNA from Nothoprocta perdicaria, 580 nucleotides. RefSeq lists it as uncharacterized. The transcript is spliced from 3 exons. Lineage: Eukaryota; Metazoa; Chordata; Aves; Tinamiformes; Tinamidae. The record is from RefSeq and is a predicted model, not a curated record.